This 440-nucleotide ribosomal RNA is filed under the name uncultured bacterium. Its description in RNAcentral is "partial 16S ribosomal RNA". It matches the Rfam family "Bacterial small subunit ribosomal RNA", at positions 338 to 795 of the family's 1533-position model. The record is from RNAcentral.
CCUACGGGUGGCAGCAGUAGGGAAUAUUGCUCAAUGGGGUAAACCCUGAAGCAGCAACGCCGCGUGGAGGAUGAAUGCUCUCGGAUUGUAAACCCUCUUUGUUAGAGAAGCUACUCACGCUAUCUAACGCAUAACUACCGGUUAACUCCGUGGCAGCAGCCGCGGAAACACGGGGGGCGGAGGCGUUACUCGGAAUUAUUUGGCGUAAAGAGCGCGUAGGCGGGAUAGCAAGUUAGGUGGGAAAUCCUAUGGCUUAACCAUAGAACUGCAGUUGAAACUGGUGUUCUGGAGUGUGGGAGAGGUAGGUGGAAUGCGUGGUGUAGCGGUGAAAUGCAUAGAUAUCAAGAAGAAUUCUGAUUGCGAAGGCAGCCUACUGGAGCAUAACUGACGCUGAUGCACGAAAGCGUGGGUAGCGAACAGGAUUAGAUACCCUUGUAGUC